RNAcentral lists this ribosomal RNA (535 nucleotides) under uncultured bacterium. Its description in RNAcentral is "partial 16S ribosomal RNA". It matches the Rfam family "Bacterial small subunit ribosomal RNA", at positions 355 to 883 of the family's 1533-position model. The record is from RNAcentral.
UGGGGAAUUUUGGACAAUGGGCGAAANCCUGAUCCAGCAAUGCCGCGUGUGUGAAGAAGGCCUUCGGGUUGUAAAGCACUUUUGUCCGGAAAGAAAUCCUUGGCUCUAAUACAGUCGGGGGAUGACGGUACCGGAAGAAUAAGCACCGGCUAACUACGUGCCAGCAGCCGCGGUAAUACGUAGGGUGCAAGCGUUAAUCGGAAUUACUGGGCGUAAAGCGUGCGCAGGCGGUUUGCUAAGACCGAUGUGAAAUCCCCGGGCUCAACCUGGGAACUGCAUUGGUGACUGGCAGGCUAGAGUAUGGCAGAGGGGGGUAGAAUUCCACGUGUAGCAGUGAAAUGCGUAGAGAUGUGGAGGAAUACCGAUGGCGAAGGCAGCCCCCUGGGCCAAUACUGACGCUCAUGCACGAAAGCGUGGGGAGCAAACAGGAUUAGAUACCCUGGUAGUCCACGCCCUAAACGAUGUCAACUAGUUGUUGGGGAUUCAUUUCCUUAGUAACGUAGCUAACGCGUGAAGUUGACCGCCUGGGGAGUAC